GUAGGUGGCAAGCGUUGUCCGGAAUUAUUGGGCGUAAAGCGCGCGCAGGCGGUUCUUUAAGUCUGAUGUGAAAGCCCACGGCUCAACCGUGGAGGGUCAUUGGAAACUGGGGGACUUGAGUACAGAAGAGAAGAGUGGAAUUCCACGUGUAGCGGUGAAAUGCGUAGAGAUGUGGAGGAACACCAGUGGCGAAGGCGACUCUUUGGUCUGUAACUGACGCUGAGGCGCGAAAGCGUGGGGAGCAAACAGGAUUAGAUACCCUGGUAGUCCACGCUGUAAACGAUGAGUGCUAAGUGUUAGAGGGUUUCCGCCCUUUAGUGCUGCAGCUAACGCAUUAAGCACUCCGCCUGGGGAGUACGGCCGCAAGGCUG
This 371-nucleotide ribosomal RNA is filed under the name uncultured organism. Its description in RNAcentral is "bacterial SSU rRNA". It matches the Rfam family "Bacterial small subunit ribosomal RNA", at positions 527 to 896 of the family's 1533-position model. The record is from RNAcentral.